This 497-nucleotide ribosomal RNA is filed under the name uncultured bacterium. RNAcentral describes it as "partial 16S ribosomal RNA". It matches the Rfam family "Bacterial small subunit ribosomal RNA", at positions 28 to 507 of the family's 1533-position model. The record is from RNAcentral.
GACGAACGCUGGCGGCGUGCCUAAUACAUGCAAGUAGAACGCUGAAGCGAGGAGCUUGCUCUUCUUGGAUGAGUUGCGAACGGGUGAGUAACGCGUAGGUAACCUGCCUUGUAGCGGGGGAUAACUAUUGGAAACGAUAGCUAAUACCGCAUAACAAUGGAUGACACAUGUCAUUUAUUUGAAAGGGGCAAUUGCUCCACUACAAGAUGGACCUGCGUUGUAUUAGCUAGUAGGUGAGGUAAUGGCUCACCUAGGCGACGAUACAUAGCCGACCUGAGAGGGUGAUCGGCCACACUGGGACUGAGACACGGCCCAGACUCCUACGGGAGGCAGCAGUAGUGAAUCUUCGGCAAUGGGGGCAACCCUGACCGAGCAACGCCGCGUGAGUGAAGAAGGUUUUCGGAUCGUAAAGCUCUGUUGUAAGUCAAGAACGGGUGUGAGAGUGGAAAGUUCACACUGUGACGGUAGCUUACCAGAAAGGGACGGCUAACUACGUG